GUGGGCGUGUACGUAAGCCGGUCCGUCAUCACUCAGUGUGUUUUAUGAUGUCCAGCUUUCAUUUAACAGCUAGCGACGUUGCGUAGAAGAUAAACAGAAAGUGUUCACUAUAAACCAUUAUCCAGGUAAGGAAGGCAAACAUUCUGCAACCUACUUAAACCAAUGGGACCAAGUAGGAAUCUGUACUGCAAAGCAAUUUAUUUUUCUUUUCCCCAAAAGACUGAUUCAUUUUUCUUAAACUAAAGCACUGGUGUUUGAGUUGAAAGAUCCCUGCUUAAGCAUAUAAGCAUAUUAUAGCAAUAAAUAUGCAUCAUGCAUUCAAUUCAGACCUAUCGUUAUGUAGUCACAUUUGCUUCUGACCACGUCUGCAUGUUUGAAUAAUCCAGCUAUAAAGAAAUUUGGACCUGGCUUUAAUUUAAUGUGAUUGGAUCACCUGAGACAGAUGUCAGUUCCAGGUGUGAAUGAGAUAAGUUUCUGACCAUAGGAAAUUAAAUUCAGUUCACUUCCCCGUUAAAGGGGUCAUUGGGUGCGACAUGCACUUAUACAAGGUGUUAGAACUGAAAUAUGUGUUGGCAGUGUGUGUACACAACCACCCUAUAAUGAUAAAAAUCCACCUAGUGUUUUUUUUUUUUAAUCUUGAUAAAUUAUUUCCCCUUUCUCAAAUCGAGCUGAUCUUAGAUGCCUGUCUGUGUGACAUCAAAUCAUUUGUGAUCCAGCUUCACCUCCAGAAGAAGUGAGUGUAAGGUUUUUUAAUGAAUCUUUGCAAAUCGCCUUUCCUAAUAAUGUGCUAGUUGGCGAGUUUCACUAUGAAUGCGGCUAAAGUUUACUGUCUCUCAGAGAGCGGCUCGGAAGAGAGGGGUGGGGUCAGCAGAUCUCAUUUGCAUUUAAAGUGCCAUGCAGUAAAACCGCGUGCUGUAGACAGAGCUGUUUUUGACUAGGUAAAAACGUUGUUGUUUUACACUACCAUUGAGAAAUUUUAACCAAACUAGGUUACAAACUUUUCAUUAAGACCCUAAAGAAUCAUAUCAGCUUGUGGAAAUUGGGCAUCCGAUUACCCCUUUAAAGGACGAGUAAAGCCUCAUCAUUUAAAAUGUGGGACAAGUUGCACCCCAAAGUUUAGUACUAGUUUAGUAGCAGUUGUUCAUAUUGAACUUUAAGCUUGAGCAGUAGUAAUGAUGAUGUUUACCUUAGCAAAACCACUAACAAGUUUAAAAUUAGUAUUAGUAAUUGAUCAGCCUGA
Long non-coding RNA from Cyprinus carpio carpio, 1240 nucleotides. NCBI's taxonomy places the organism in Eukaryota, Metazoa, Chordata, Actinopteri, Cypriniformes, Cyprinidae. The record is from Ensembl.